CCGGAGCUUGCUCCACCGGAAAAAGAGGAGUGGCGAACGGGUGAGUAACACGUGGGUAACCUGCCCAUCAGAAGGGGAUAACACUUGGAAACAGGUGCUAAUACCGUAUAACAAUCGAAACCGCAUGGUUUUGAUUUGAAAGGCGCUUUCGGGUGUCGCUGAUGGAUGGACCCGCGGUGCAUUAGCUAGUUGGUGAGGUAACGGCUCACCAAGGCCACGAUGCAUAGCCGACCUGAGAGGGUGAUCGGCCACAUUGGGACUGAGACACGGCCCAAACUCCUACGGGAGGCAGCAGUAGGGAAUCUUCGGCAAUGGACGAAAGUCUGACCGAGCAACGCCGCGUGAGUGAAGAAGGUUUUCGGAUCGUAAAACUCUGUUGUUAGAGAAGAAYAAGGAUGAGAGUAACUGUUCAUCCCUUGACGGUAUCUAACCAGAAAGCCACGGCUAACUACGUGCCAGCAGCCGCGGUAAUACGUAGGUGGCAAGCGUUGUCCGGAUUUAUUGGGCGUAAAGCGAGCGCAGGCGGUUUCUUAAGUCUGAUGUGAAAGCCCCCGGCUCAACCGGGGAGGGUCAUUGGAAACUGGGAGACUUGAGUGCAGAAGAGGAGAGUGGAAUUCCAUGUGUAGCGGUGAAAUGCGUAGAUAUAUGGAGGAACACCAGUGGCGAA
RNAcentral lists this ribosomal RNA (667 nucleotides) under Enterococcus sp. FBPers-11_02-23. RNAcentral describes it as "bacterial SSU rRNA". It matches the Rfam family "Bacterial small subunit ribosomal RNA", at positions 73 to 719 of the family's 1533-position model. The record is from RNAcentral. Lineage: Bacteria; Bacillati; Bacillota; Bacilli; Lactobacillales; Enterococcaceae.